CGCGUAGGCGGCUAUGCAAGUCAUAUGUGAAAGCCCACGGCUUAACCGUGGAAGUGCAUGUGAAACUGCAUGGCUUGAGUAUCGGAGGGGAAAGUGGAAUUCCCGGUGUAGAGGUGAAAUUCGUAGAGAUCGGGAGGAAUACCGGUGGCGAAGGCGACUUUCUGGACGAAUACUGACGCUGAGGCGCGAAAGCGUGGGGAGCAAACA
Molecule: ribosomal RNA, 207 nt
Filed under: uncultured delta proteobacterium
Lineage: Bacteria; Deltaproteobacteria
Description: partial 16S ribosomal RNA
Rfam family: Bacterial small subunit ribosomal RNA
Source: RNAcentral